GUUGAAGAGCAUCAGGUAUCCGAUAUACGCCAGCUGUAAGGAGACACAAUACAGUGCUCUGGCUGUUCAGGCCCAGGAGCCCCAGCAUCAGCCAAGGCCACUGCACAGCAGCACAGAGCAGGGUCAGCAAGCAGGACACAGACUUUAUGACAAAAGGAACUUGAAGGUGCUAAACUAACAAAAGAAUUAGAAAAGACAGUAAUACUUGAAGGAUUAUAAUAUGCAAUCUUCCUUUUGACCUGUACAUGUAUCUCUGGGGCUCUGGUGCUUCGUUUAAAUCUAUGUGUCAUGAUGCAUCAUUUCGCCUUGCAGUUACCCAUUUUUGUGUGUUUUCUUGGCUAAAAAGGGAGCCUUGGCUGUCAGUGGCGGCUCUUGCUCAGGCGUGGACCUUAGGUUCUUAAACUAGGGCAGCACAGUGGAUUUUUGCCUCACGAAUGCCAGGCAGAAUAAGUGUCUGUGAGAAGCAAAGGAAGAGGAAGACACAUGUAACACCUGUAAAUUGGUCAAACCAACAUAAAAAUAGCCCAGGCUUAAAGUGCUUCGCUUGUCAGUGCCCUGGGAGGGUCUUACCUGUUUUCAUUUCACCACUUUCCUGUCCUAAUCAAGUUAAGAUAAGAUAUUCCUUCCUGGUGUCUGCUUCAUUGAAACAACACAAGAAAAGACAACACAGUUUACAGAAAGGAAAGGGUCCGUGUGGCCUUUUGUGGACGGGUGUGGGGUUUAAUCCCCAAGAGGCUCUGGCUCGUGGGGUUGAAUCCUGAUGUGACUGGCUGAAUUGCUGGAUGUCUGGGAAGAACUCCCUAGGGUUUGGUGACUGCUCCUGGAAGAUUCAGUUGUGUCAAGGUGAGUGAAGUGCAGGGAAACUGGUGGCUCUUGCAUAAGGGGCUGAGGAGCCUUGAGAGAAGACUCACUCACCUUAAGGGAAAUGGCAGACUAGCUGGGCCUUCCUUACACAAUGCCUCAAGUCAAGUGAGGUACUCACUGGCCUUAGGGGCCUCAGGGGCUGUGAGCAGGAACCAAGAGGGAGUUUAUUAACUAAAAUCUGCUGCACUCUUCAGAGUGGUGUAGCAAAGAAUAGACACAGUGUGGGUGAAAGGAUUGAGGCCUUGAGGGGUCUGGAGGUACUGCAUGACUUUGUAGCUGGGAAGGCAGCUUAGAAGGUGGAGGAAGCUGCAGCCUUGCUGGGGGAUAUGCUGCUUUCUCUACUAAUUCUCUUAUGUUUUGGGACAGGGUCUCACUCUCGUCACCCAGGCUGGAGUGCAGUGGCAUUGUGAUCUCGGCUCAUUGUAGCAUUGACUUCCUGGGCUCAGAUGGAUACCUGAAAUAGGCUCUCAAAACAAGCAGGGUCUAGGAGCCAGUUGGACCCCUGCCUCCUUUCUUCUUGGACCAGAAGAGGACCCAAUCUGCUCCUAGAGAAACUUGCUACGAUGCAGAAGUGAGGUUAUAUGGAAAUGAAGUGUGUCCUACCUUUCAGAAACUUGGGAGAGUAGGAGAGACCAUUUUUGAAAAUCUGGUGAGAAAUACUCUUACAGAGAAAAACACAGCCCAAAGCACAUGGGACCUUCAAUCUGAAAUUGAAUUGUACUGUUAAGCAUGUCUGGUGAUUCAAAAGACUGGCAUACCUUAUUUCCAGUCACUUCCUCGAGGCCUGGGCUUUGUCAAUAUGUGAAGAUGAAUUUUGGAGAAUCAUGUAAACACAAUUGAACAGAUCUGGGGGAUCCAGUCUGAUGGGUUUGCUGAGGCCAAUCCAGUCAGCCACGCAGAAGUGUGCUGGACACACAGGCCCCACCACCCCCCGCCAAAGAGGCAGCCUCCCAACAAGCUGCCAAUGACAUAAGCAAAGCAGCGUGUCUCAAGUGUCUCCAAUCAUAAGAUUCGCCUGGGAAGCUGGUUAAACUAACACAGCCUCUUAGGCUCCUUCCUGAAGACUGGAUUCCAUGGGUCUAUGAUGGGGCUAGAAAUUUGCAUUUCUAACAAAACUCCCUUGUCAUCAUGGACGUUUUAGAGAUAUUGAUACUAUUAUUUCUACUGAUUUCUGCUCUCGGGAGUCUGUAAACUUUUUCUGCAAAUGGCCAACUGGUUAACUUUUAAGGCUUUGUAGAACCGAUAGUCUCUCUCUGUCUCUCACUACUCAUCAACUUGAUGUGGUAGCACAAAAGCAGUCAGUCAGCCUAUUGCUAAUGGUAAAUGAGAUUUAGCCUAAAGCUGCCUCCUUAAGUUCGGCCUGAAGUUUUCUCUGUACAUUGUGAACUAUAACAAAUGAAGGUGUAACAAGACCAAUCACCGAGUUUCGGUCAAUCAAAUGUAGCCAACUGCUCAAACUGUGUUCAAAUAAGGCAAACGCUGAGCUGUAACCAAUCCAGCUGUUUCUGUACCUCACUUCCGUUUUCUGUAUGCCACUUCCCUUUUUCUGUCCAUAAAUCUUCCACCACGUGGCCCUGCCAGAGUCUCUGAGCCUACUCUGGCUUGGAAGACUGCCCAAUUCACGAAUCGUUCAUUUGCUCAAUUAAACUCCUUUAAAUUUA
RNAcentral lists this long non-coding RNA (2525 nucleotides) under Homo sapiens (human). Its description in RNAcentral is "HSALNT0352711". The record is from RNAcentral. Lineage: Eukaryota; Metazoa; Chordata; Mammalia; Primates; Hominidae.